UUUAAACUGUGGCAGCCCUGUGGGUAACCUUAUACCUGCAGGCACAUGGCACCAAUGGUGAUGUUCAGCAGCUCGAUGUUUGUCAAGCACCACUCAUCAUCCAUUCAUUCAGCCACUCACUCAUUCAUGCAGAAGUGGGAGAUCUGUGGGGAAAGCAGGAACUGUCCCGCACACCCUUACGUGGUGAGCUGCUGAUGUUUGUGACUUCCCCGUCUGUUGCCGGCAGACCUGUGCUGUUCAGUCAGGUAGGUGUUGUUGGUGGAGAGGGAACAGCGGGGUGUGAGUCGGGUCCGGGUCUUUGGCACAUGCUGUCUUCCAUCUGGGCUUGUGAAGGUGGUUGGAGCUGAGCUGAAAAUGUCGCGGGCUGUCCUGCCACCUCAAGGGGGGGCCUGUCCAUCCGCAUGGGGGCCGGCAGUGUGAGAAGCGUCAGCAUCUAGAGAUUCCUGAGCCCAUGGGACCCAGGAGGACAGAAGCAUCAGCCCCUUUGAAUAAUCAAGCCAGUUCCAGCGGGGUUCCACCUGUGUGUCCUCUCCAGGCACUGAGUGGCCAGUUUGUGCUUUUGUUGCAAUGGUUAAGAAGGACCAGCUGUCUACCUGACUGCGAUCACCCUGCCUGUUCACACAGGUUCAUCCUGGGGGUGCUGCGUCAAGGCUGCCUUGGACGCCACCCGGCCCUCGGUGCUUCUCUUGGAGUUACACUUCCUCACCAUCUACCCGCGUGUCCAAGACAGGGCCCGCAGUCUGUGGAGCGGAGACCAGCGUGGAUCCACCGAGAAGGAACCUGUCUGCAUUCCAGACCUAAAUGUUUCUGGGCCAGCGCCUUCCCAAUCCAGGUUCCCUUCACAAAGGCGGGGGUGGCCUGUCUGUGACCAUCUGCGAGGAGCAGGAGGACGGGACGCUCCCUGGGUUCCACUGCCCCCUCACUCGGUGACCUCCUGGAGGGACUCAGGCUGCUUCCCGAGUUUGUUCUUUCUGUCCUGGGUGGACCAUGUUCUCCGUAGGCACAGUUCUCGGGUGUCUUCUGUUUGCUGUACAUUUUGUUUCUAGAGUAACCGAGUGUCUGGCAUGUUGGGUCCCAGAACCUGGCUGUGCCCCGUGGAUAUGCCCUGCGCCUGCCUCUGGCUGUGAUGUUUCAACACCAGCAACCGCUAUGAGCUUGACGUUGUAACUGACCAAGCGUCUGAGCACUGGGUCCCUCGCUGGGCACUCUGUCCCAUUCAAUCCAUGCAAACCCUCACCGAGGGGAUCGGCAGGGGUCGUCACCAGCAAGCUGGGCUGGAGAAGAACCGGGCAAGCGUAUGGAACCCCGAGUGCAAGGCGCAGCAGCCUCCCUCAGGAGACCCCUCAGCAAGCCCAGAAGGGGUGGUAUCACAGCCUCGGCACAUUGUCCUCUAGUUGUACGUGGCAGAGUCCAAGCGUGAAGCCACCCUGUUUGCCACCAGAGCCUCUGCUUCAGGGACUGCUGUUCUACUUUGGUCUUAUGGCCACAGCCGGUGCAGGGCAGCGCCGGAGGGGCAGGUCACAGGUGGCUUUUGCCCAACUUGGCCGGUGGGCCAAGUAUGACCUAGGAGGGCCUCCUUGGAAACUGGCCACAGAAGGGGAUGACUGCGGGGCCCACAUGACUUCUAGGGACCAUGGAAGCCUCAAAAGACAGAGAAAUGUAUUGGGCAUCCCCUCUAGAAUCUCAUUUAAUUUUUUUUUCUGUGCUGGGGAUUGAACCCAGGGCCUCAUGCAUGUUAGGCAAGUGCUCUACCACUGAGCUACACCCCCAACUCUCAUUUAAUUUUGACAUCAGCAGUGUAGAGAACGAUAUUUGAAAGAGAAGCUAUCAAGUCUUGAAGAGGUAAAGCCAUUUGCCCAAGGUCCUUCAUGUGAAGGUUUUGCAGCUAUGGAGGGUUCAAAUCCAGCAGUCAGGCUCUUUCCCUCAUGUCUCUGUCUACCUGCCAGCCCUGGACCAUCUCACUGUAAUCAUCGCUGUGCUUGGUGUGUGUUUAUUCCAUUCUAAGGAUUCCCGAGAGGUGAAGGGCAGGGAAGAGGUCACAAAAUGGCGGCCCACGGCUCAGAUCCAGCCUGCAGAUUUGUUCUUGGCCUCCAUUUUGUGCAUGAUGUAAUUUAGUAAAAUUCCAGGAGCUCAAAAGCUCCUAGGAGCCAUC
RNAcentral lists this transfer RNA (2152 nucleotides) under Chinchilla lanigera (long-tailed chinchilla). RNAcentral describes it as "lncRNA (ENSCLAG00000023855.1)". The record is from RNAcentral. Lineage: Eukaryota; Metazoa; Chordata; Mammalia; Rodentia; Chinchillidae.